RNAcentral lists this transfer RNA (76 nucleotides) under Butyricicoccus pullicaecorum. Its description in RNAcentral is "tRNA-Pro". It matches the Rfam family "tRNA". From Rfam's summary of the family: Transfer RNA (tRNA) molecules are approximately 80 nucleotides in length. Their secondary structure includes four short double-helical elements and three loops (D, anti-codon, and T loops). The record is from RNAcentral. Lineage: Bacteria; Bacillati; Bacillota; Clostridia; Eubacteriales; Butyricicoccaceae. RNAcentral also lists the same sequence under 3 other names.
CGAGGUGUAGCGCAGCUGGUAGCGCGCCUGCUUUGGGAGCAGGAUGCCGCAGGUUCGAGUCCUGUCACCUCGACCA